RNAcentral lists this ribosomal RNA (982 nucleotides) under Alcaligenes faecalis. RNAcentral describes it as "bacterial SSU rRNA". It matches the Rfam family "Bacterial small subunit ribosomal RNA", at positions 531 to 1533 of the family's 1533-position model. The record is from RNAcentral. Lineage: Bacteria; Pseudomonadati; Pseudomonadota; Betaproteobacteria; Burkholderiales; Alcaligenaceae.
GGGGGGACGGUUAUCGCGAUACUGGGCGUAAGCGUGUGUAGGCGGUUCGGAAAGAAAGAUGUGAAAUCCCAGGGCUCAACCUUGGAACUGCAUUUUUAACUGCCGAGCUAGAGUAUGUCAGAGGGGGGUAGAAUUCCACGUGUAGCAGUGAAAUGCGUAGAUAUGUGGAGGAAUACCGAUGGCGAAGGCAGCCCCCUGGGAUAAUACUGACGCUCAGACACGAAAGCGUGGGGAGCAAACAGGAUUAGAUACCCUGGUAGUCCACGCCCUAAACGAUGUCAACUAGCUGUUGGGGCCGUUAGGCCUUAGUAGCGCAGCUAACGCGUGAAGUUGACCGCCUGGGGAGUACGGUCGCAAGAUUAAAACUCAAAGGAAUUGACGGGGACCCGCACAAGCGGUGGAUGAUGUGGAUUAAUUCGAUGCAACGCGAAAAACCUUACCUACCCUUGACAUGUCUGGAAAGCCGAAGAGAUUUGGCCGUGCUCGCAAGAGAACCGGAACACAGGUGCUGCAUGGCUGUCGUCAGCUCGUGUCGUGAGAUGUUGGGUUAAGUCCCGCAACGAGCGCAACCCUUGUCAUUAGUUGCUACGCAAGAGCACUCUAAUGAGACUGCCGGUGACAAACCGGAGGAAGGUGGGGAUGACGUCAAGUCCUCAUGGCCCUUAUGGGUAGGGCUUCACACGUCAUACAAUGGUCGGGACAGAGGGUCGCCAACCCGCGAGGGGGAGCCAAUCUCAGAAACCCGAUCGUAGUCCGGAUCGCAGUCUGCAACUCGACUGCGUGAAGUCGGAAUCGCUAGUAAUCGCGGAUCAGAAUGUCGCGGUGAAUACGUUCCCGGGUCUUGUACACACCGCCCGUCACACCAUGGGAGUGGGUUUCACCAGAAGUAGGUAGCCUAACCGUAAGGAGGGCGCUUACCACGGUGGGAUUCAUGACUGGGGUGAAGUCGUACAGGGGGGAAACCCGUAAAAAGCCCCAAAAA